Non-coding RNA from Chelonoidis abingdonii (Abingdon island giant tortoise), 115 nucleotides. The record is from RefSeq and is a predicted model, not a curated record. NCBI's taxonomy places the organism in Eukaryota, Metazoa, Chordata, Testudines, Testudinidae.
AUAUUUGGAGUUGAGAGGGGAGAGAGGACAAGUCAUGAUGUCACUGUCUCCCUUUUUAUACCUUCUUCCAGCUGCUAGAAAGAUCCUUGCUGUGACGUGGGGGGUCAGGCAGUCC